CCCUUAGAUGUUCUGGGCCGCACGCGCGCUACACUGACUGCUCCAACAAGUUACCUGGGCUGACAAGCAUCCGGGAAAUCUUGCAAAGGCAGUCGUGAUGGGGAUAGAUUCUUGUAAUUUUUAAUCUUCAACGAGGAAUUCCUAGUAAGCGCGAGUCAUCAGCUCGUGCUGAUUACGUCCCUGCCCUUUGUACACACCGCCCGUCGCUGCAACUGAUUGGGUGACCUGGUGAACAUCUUGGACCGGUCCACUCAAUUUCGAGAGGACUGGAAAAGGCCGUAAAUCAGGUACAUCUAGAAAUUGCAAAAGUCGUAACA
Molecule: ribosomal RNA, 317 nt
Filed under: uncultured eukaryote
Lineage: Eukaryota
Description: partial 18S ribosomal RNA
Rfam family: Eukaryotic small subunit ribosomal RNA
Source: RNAcentral